This 450-nucleotide ribosomal RNA is filed under the name uncultured bacterium. Its description in RNAcentral is "bacterial SSU rRNA". It matches the Rfam family "Bacterial small subunit ribosomal RNA", at positions 328 to 795 of the family's 1533-position model. The record is from RNAcentral.
ACUCCAGACUCCUACGGGAGGCAGCAGUGGGGAAUAUUGCACAAUGGGGGGAACCCUGAUGCAGCAACGCCGCGUGAGUGAAGAAGUCAUUCGUGAUGUAAAGCUCUAUCAGCAGGGAAGAAAAUGACGGUACCUGAGUAAGAAGCACCGGCUAACUACGUGCCAGCAGCCGCGGUAAUACGUAGGGGGCAAGCGUUAUCCGGAUUUACUGGGUGUAAAGGGAGCGUAGACGGCGAUACAAGUCUGAAGUGAAAGCCCGGGGCUCAACCCCGGGACUGCUUUGGAAACUGUGUUGCUGGAGUGCUGGAGAGGCAAGCGGAAUUCCUAGUGUAGCGGUGAAAUGCGUAGAUAUUAGGAGGAACACCAGUGGCGAAGGCGGCCUGCUGGACUGCAACUGACGUUGAGGCUCGAAGGCGUGGGGAGCAAACAGGAUUAGAUACCCCAGUAGAU